RNAcentral lists this ribosomal RNA (468 nucleotides) under uncultured bacterium. RNAcentral's name for it is "partial 16S ribosomal RNA". It matches the Rfam family "Bacterial small subunit ribosomal RNA", at positions 28 to 507 of the family's 1533-position model. The record is from RNAcentral.
GACGAACGCUGGCGGCGUGCUUAACACAUGCAAGUCGAACGGAAAGGCCCUGCUUUUGUGGGGUGCUCGAGUGGCGAACGGGUGAGUAACACGUGAGUAACCUGCCCUUGACUUUGGGAUAACUUCAGGAAACUGGGGCUAAUACCGGAUAGGAGCUCCUGCUGCAUGGUGGGGGUUGGAAAGUUUCGGCGGUGGGGGAUGGACUCGCGGCUUAUCAGCUUGUUGGUGGGGUAGUGGCUUACCAAGGCUUUGACGGGUAGCCGGCCUGAGAGGGUGACCGGCCACAUUGGGACUGAGAGACGGCCCAGACUGCUACGGGAGGCAGCAGUGGGGAAUAUUGCACAAUGGGCGGAAGCCUGAUGCAGCAACGCCGCGUGCGGGAUGACGGCCUUCGGGUUGUAAACCGCUUUCGCCUGUGACGAAGCGUGAGUGACGGUAAUGGGUAAAGAAGCACCGGCUAACUACGUG